Molecule: non-coding RNA, 680 nt
Organism: Chlorocebus sabaeus (green monkey)
Lineage: Eukaryota; Metazoa; Chordata; Mammalia; Primates; Cercopithecidae
Source: the annotation of a RefSeq genome assembly
GUCGCUGCUGAGUUACUGACAUGAGCCAGCCCUGCAGCUGUGCCCAGCCUGCCCCAUCCCCUGCUCAUUUGCAUGUUCCCAGAGCACAUCCUCCUGCCCAGAAGACUUAUUAAUAGGCUGGUCACACUUCAUGUAGAAGUCAGAACCACUCAGGACACAGCAUGGACACGAGGGUCCCCGCUUAUCUCCUGGGGCUCCUUCUGCUCUGGCUCCCAGGUGCCAGAUGUGACAUCCAGAUGACCCAGUCUCCAUCUUCCCUGUCUGCAUCUGUAGGAGACAGAGUCACCAUCACUUGCAGGGCAAGUCAGGGCAUUAGCAAUUAUUUAAAUUGGUAUCAGCAGAAACCAGGAAAAGCUCCUAAGCUUCUGAUCUAUUCUGCAUCCCGUUUGCAAAGUGGGGUCCCAUCAAGGUUCAGCGGCAGUGGAUCUGGGACAGAAUUCACUCUCACCAUCAGCAGCCUGCAGCCUGAAGAUUUUGCUACUUAUUAUUGUGAACAGUUUAAAAAUUACCUUUCCACAGCGUUUCAAACCCGAACAAAAACCCCCAGGGAAGCAGAUGUAGAGGCUGGGCUGCCCCAGCUGUUCCUCCUGAUGCCUCCAUGGGCUGAGAGUGUUCCUCAGAUGCAGCCACACUCUGAUGGUGUCGGUAGAGGGAGACAUGAAGUCACCUCUGCACCCUAA